Molecule: ribosomal RNA, 379 nt
Filed under: uncultured eukaryote
Lineage: Eukaryota
Description: partial 18S ribosomal RNA
Rfam family: Eukaryotic small subunit ribosomal RNA
Source: RNAcentral
CAAUAGCGUAUAUUUAAGUUGUUGCAGUUAAAAAGCUCGUAGUUGGAUUUCGGAUGGGACUUGCCGGUCCGUCGUUUCGAUGUGCACUGGCCAGUCCUAUCUUGUUGUCGGGGACUAGCUCCUGGGCUUCACUGUCCGGGACUAGGAGCUGACGAGGUUACUUUGAGUAAAUUAGAGUGUUCAAAGCAAGCCUACGCUCUGAAUACAUUAGCAUGGAAUAACACGAUAGGACUCUGGCUUAUCUUGUUGGUCUGUGAGACCAGAGUAAUGAUUAAGAGGGACAGUCGGGGGCAUUCGUAUUUCAUUGUCAGAGAUGAAAUUCUUGGAUUUAUGAAAGACGAACUUCUGCGAAAGCAUUUGUCAAGGAUGUUUUCAUUAA